RNAcentral lists this microRNA precursor (111 nucleotides) under Marmota monax (woodchuck). Lineage: Eukaryota; Metazoa; Chordata; Mammalia; Rodentia; Sciuridae. The record is from RNAcentral.
AUACAAAGCACCUAGUAAUCAUGUCAAAAUGUAGAUUCUGAGUCAGUAGGUCUGAGUUUAGGGGUGAUUCACAGAUUUUGUAUUUCUAACAAGUUCCUGAGUGAUGUUAAU